UUAUUGGUUCUAUCUUUUGUCCUCAGUCGCCGAUUUAAUCCUGCCGUGGUGCUCUUCACCGAGUGUCGAGGUAGGCCGGCACGUUUACUUUGAACAAAUUAGAGUGCUCAAA
RNAcentral lists this ribosomal RNA (112 nucleotides) under Micronectidae environmental sample. Its description in RNAcentral is "partial 18S ribosomal RNA". The record is from RNAcentral. Lineage: Eukaryota; Metazoa; Arthropoda; Insecta; Hemiptera; Micronectidae.